This 255-nucleotide ribosomal RNA is filed under the name uncultured Gardnerella sp. RNAcentral's name for it is "partial 16S ribosomal RNA". It matches the Rfam family "Bacterial small subunit ribosomal RNA", at positions 99 to 354 of the family's 1533-position model. Lineage: Bacteria; Bacillati; Actinomycetota; Actinomycetes; Bifidobacteriales; Bifidobacteriaceae. The record is from RNAcentral.
CGAACGGGUGAGUAAUGCGUGACCAACCUGCCCCAUGCUCCAGAAUAGCUCUUGGAAACGGGUGGUAAUGCUGGAUGCUCAACUUGACGCAUGUCUUGUUGGGAAAGUGUUUAGUGGCAUGGGAUGGGGUCGCGUCCUAUCAGCUUGUAGGCGGGGUAAUGGCCCACCUAGGCUUCGACGGGUAGCCGGCCUGAGAGGGCGGACGGCCACAUUGGGACUGAGAUACGGCCCAGACUCCUACGGGAGGCAGCAGGC